UAGGAAAAAAGCAAACAUGCAGUCACCUAAAUAUAGGUGUCUGAAUCUGGAGCAGAAGGCCAGCCUCAAUGUUUAGUCCUGUGAGUUCACCCUCUAAUCAUUGUGAAAGUUCAAUUGAAAAUUUUGUAUUCAAGUAAUUAUUUUUCAUAGCAGGUAUAUAACAUGCAUAAACCAGACAACUUGUAUAGUGCUUGGAUCAUGCAGUGACCACUGAACCUGAUCAAUACAUGUUUCAUCUUCUUUUUCCUCUUAAAGUUUGUGCCCCUGGUUCUCUUCUCUUUUCCUGCAACUCUUGGACUUGGAGCAGUCUUUUAAGGACUUAGUGUGUUAUUUUCUCUUAGAUAGUUUGCAGACCUGUAUCUUCAUUCUUUCCAUGUUCCACUCAUUUUAGGAGCAUUUAUUUCUUUUGCCUUAUAAUGAAAUGAAGAUCAAAUAGACUUUCUGUGUUGCUCUGAUUUAGCAAAUAGCCUGAUUCUGGCUUUUUUUUGGAAUACAAGCAGGACAGGUGCUGAAAUAGUACUGACUUGUGGCCUUUUUCUCUCCCUCCCUUUCCUUCUNNNNNNNNNNNNNNNNNNNNNNNNNNNNNNUGAAGAACCAGCCUUCAGAAAUUUUAUGGAAGAGACACGGAUGAAGUACCAGAGAAGAAGCAACCAGGAUGAAUGAGACUCUCAGAAACAAGAGAGCUUGGAAUCCCUUGUAAUGGAGUGAACAAUAAAGUAACUAUUGGUCAUGAGUUAAAGGUCUCAUAUCCAACUGACUGCACGUUUGGCCGUCUGCCACUGUGACUUCCUAAAGCCAGAAGAACCAGAUAGCACUUUCUUUCGCUCCAGACUCUUUAGAUGCACCUGUUGAGACCUUAGAUUUUGAGCUCUGACAGCAUUAUCAUCUAGAGAACUUAAGACAGACCUUCAAGAGUGCAGUCUUUUCACCUCAUGCAGAGAGGUGUCUUCUGCAUCCAGCCCAUCCAUCUAGAUGCACAGAAGCUGCAUCUCAAAGACAUUACAUGGUCAGAAGAAAAUUCUAAGAAAAUUCUGAGUAAAGAAAGUUCACAGAAGGGAAAGUAAUAAGAGGAGUCCAGCUUGGUUCUCAGCGGGUUGAGAACAGAAGCAUAUGUGGCUGUAUAUACCAGCUGCAUGUCUCUGUAUGGAACACAAAGGGGUAUAGAGCAG
This 1169-nucleotide long non-coding RNA is filed under the name Apteryx owenii (little spotted kiwi). RNAcentral's name for it is "lncRNA (ENSAOWG00000010305.1)". The record is from RNAcentral. Lineage: Eukaryota; Metazoa; Chordata; Aves; Apterygiformes; Apterygidae.